This 253-nucleotide ribosomal RNA is filed under the name uncultured bacterium. Its description in RNAcentral is "partial 16S ribosomal RNA". It matches the Rfam family "Bacterial small subunit ribosomal RNA", at positions 524 to 776 of the family's 1533-position model. The record is from RNAcentral.
UACAGAGGGGGCAAGCGUUGUUCGGAAUUACUGGGCGUAAAGGGCGCGUAGGCGGCCUUCUAAGUCGAACGUGAAAUCCCCGGGCUCAACCCGGGAACUGCGUCCGAUACUGGAAGGCUUGAAUCCGGGAGAGGGAUGCGGAAUUCCAGGUGUAGCGGUGAAAUGCGUAGAUAUUACGAAGAACACCAAUGGCGAAGGCAGCUUGCUGGGCCGCCCCUGAUGCUGAGGCACGAAAGCGUGGGGAGCGAACAGG